Molecule: small nucleolar RNA, 131 nt
Filed under: Procavia capensis (Cape rock hyrax)
Lineage: Eukaryota; Metazoa; Chordata; Mammalia; Hyracoidea; Procaviidae
Description: Small nucleolar RNA SNORA38 (ENSPCAG00000019072.1)
Rfam family: Small nucleolar RNA SNORA38
About the family: ACA38 is a member of the H/ACA class of snoRNA that guide the sites of modification of uridines to pseudouridines.
Source: RNAcentral
UCCUCCUACAAAGGCGUGUCUGUGGUUCCCUGUCCUUGGACACGUAAGAAUUGGAGGCAAAGAAAUGUGGACUUGGAAAAGUCAGGAGCCGGCUUGCUCCUCGCAGGCUCAAGCUUACCCAUCCGACACUG